This 460-nucleotide ribosomal RNA is filed under the name uncultured bacterium. RNAcentral describes it as "partial 16S ribosomal RNA". It matches the Rfam family "Bacterial small subunit ribosomal RNA", at positions 338 to 795 of the family's 1533-position model. The record is from RNAcentral.
CCUACGGGAGGCAGCAGUGAGGAAUAUUGGUCAAUGGACGAGAGUCUGAACCAGCCAAGUAGCGUGAAGGAUGACUGCCCUAUGGGUUGUAAACUUCUUUUAUAUGGGAAUAAAAUGUUCCACGUGUGGGAUUUUGUAUGUACCAUAUGAAUAAGGAUCGGCUAACUCCGUGCCAGCAGCCGCGGUAAUACGGAGGAUCCGAGCGUUAUCCGGAUUUAUUGGGUUUAAAGGGAGCGUAGGUGGAUUGUUAAGUCAGUUGUGAAAGUUUGCGGCUCAACCGUAAAAUUGCAGUUGACACUGGCAGUCUUGAGUACAGUAGAGGUAGGCGGAAUUCGUGGUGUAGCGGUGAAAUGCUUAGAUAUCACGAAGAACUCCGAUUGCGAAGGCAGUUCACUGGACUGCAACUGACACUGAGGCUCGAAAGUGUGGGUAUCAAACAGGAUUAGAUACCCUAGUAGUC